UGGUCGAUCAAGAGAGGAGGGGGGCGACAGGGGUUCUCCAAAACCCUAAGUUUCACACCAAAAUCUCUUCAAUUGAAGCCCCAAAUCAGUUCCAAAUCAAGCUCUAAUCACAUAUUAGUAAACACCUCGUUGUAAGGAUCAAAAGGCAAAGAGUCCGGUUCAUCUAGCGGACAAGCCGGAGGGAGUUCACGAGGAAAAGACGCGCUCUAAAAGUUCUCAGGUACUCAAGUAAAGGAUGAAGGU
Molecule: long non-coding RNA, 243 nt
Organism: Helianthus annuus (common sunflower)
Lineage: Eukaryota; Viridiplantae; Streptophyta; Magnoliopsida; Asterales; Asteraceae
Exons: 3
Source: RefSeq, a predicted model, not a curated record